RNAcentral lists this ribosomal RNA (774 nucleotides) under uncultured Neocallimastigales. RNAcentral's name for it is "partial large subunit ribosomal RNA". It matches the Rfam family "Eukaryotic large subunit ribosomal RNA", at positions 22 to 644 of the family's 3401-position model. The record is from RNAcentral. Lineage: Eukaryota; Fungi; Neocallimastigomycota; Neocallimastigomycetes; Neocallimastigales.
CAUAGCGACUAUCGUGGCAUAUCAAUAAGCGGAGGAAAAGAAACUAACAAGGAUUCCCUUAGUAACGGCGAGUGAAGCGGGAAGAGCUCAAAUUUGAAAUCUUCAAGGUUCUACCUUGACGAAUUGUAGUUUAUAGAAGUGUUUUCUGUUAGUAGAGUGGCAAAGUUCUUUGGAAUAGGACAUCAUAGAGGGUGAGAAUCCCGUAUUUGGUCAUUCUUUCUAGCUUUGUGAUACACUUUCAACGAGUCGGACUGUUUGGGAAUGCAGUCCAAAAUGGGUGGUAAAUUUCAUCUAAAGCUAAAUAUUGGCGAGAGACCGAUAGCGAACAAGUACCGUGAGGGAAAGAUGAAAAGAACUUUGAAAAGAGAGUUAAACAGUACGUGAAAUUGUCAAAAGGGAAGCGUUUGACACCAGUGUUGUUUUUCCGAAAAUCAAUUACGAAUGUUUUAUUUUUGAGAAGUUAUGACUUCAUCGGCUUGCUCCUUCUCUUUAUGAAACUUUCUUAAUGCACUUUUCGGUUAACAAGUCAACAUCAAUUUCUUUUGUUGUAAAAGGGUAUGAGGAAGGUGGCUUUCUUUUCGGAGAAAGUGUUUAUAGCCUUGUACCUCUGCAAUCGGAGAGAUUGAGGUCUGCAGCGUAGAUCCUUCGGGGUUAGAUACAUUUGUGCUAAGUUAUAGCUUUUCAUAGACAACUUGUUGACUAUGUUUAGUCUUGUAGCUUACUCGCUUACGCUAUUUUACCUACGCUUAGGAUGUUGAUAGUCACAGCGUGUAC